Molecule: ribosomal RNA, 649 nt
Filed under: Shigella sp.
Lineage: Bacteria; Pseudomonadati; Pseudomonadota; Gammaproteobacteria; Enterobacterales; Enterobacteriaceae
Description: partial 16S rRNA
Source: RNAcentral
GUCCAGGGGGCCGCCUUCGCCACCGGUAUUCCUCCAGAUCUCUACGCAUUUCACCGCUACACCUGGAAUUCUACCCCCCUCUACGAGACUCAAGCUUGCCAGUAUCAGAUGCAGUUCCCAGGUUGAGCCCGGGGAUUUCACAUCUGACUUAACAAACCGCCUGCGUGCGCUUUACGCCCAGUAAUUCCGAUUAACGCUUGCACCCUCCGUAUUACCGCGGCUGCUGGCACGGAGUUAGCCGGUGCUUCUUCUGCGGGUAACGUCAAUGAGCAAAGGUAUUAACUUUACUCCCUUCCUCCCCGCUGAAAGUACUUUACAACCCGAAGGCCUUCUUCAUACACGCGGCAUGGCUGCAUCAGGCUUGCGCCCAUUGUGCAAUAUUCCCCACUGCUGCCUCCCGUAGGAGUCUGGACCGUGUCUCAGUUCCAGUGUGGCUGGUCAUCCUCUCAGACCAGCUAGGGAUCGUCGCCUUGGUGAGCCGUUACCCCACCUACAAGCUAAUCCCAUCUGGGCACAUCCGAUGGCAAGAGGCCCGAAGGUCCCCCUCUUUGGUCUUGCGACGUUAUGCGGUAUUAGCUACCGUUUCCAGUAGUUAUCCCCCUCCAUCAGGCAGUUUCCCAGACAUUACUCACCCGUCCGCCACUCGUCA